UUUUAUUUUUUACUCAAUGUGACAGGAAGACCAUCGCACUACAGCGUAACCACCACCGCACUUCAGCGUAGAUAUCAACAAGUUAACGUCAUAAUGUCACCAUCGCACUUCAGCGUGUUAACCAUCGCACUUCAGCGUAUACCAUCGCACUUCAGCGUGACCAUCGCAGUUCGGAGUACCAUCGCGGUUCCGAGUCCUACAUACAUGUAUAUGUUAAUUAAGG
This 223-nucleotide long non-coding RNA is filed under the name Mytilus galloprovincialis (Mediterranean mussel). The record is from RNAcentral. Lineage: Eukaryota; Metazoa; Mollusca; Bivalvia; Mytilida; Mytilidae.